CGCAGCCCCGCGCUCGGCGCCGGCCGCGCCAUGGGGGAGGGGCGGGGCGGGCCGCGCGAGACCCGGGAAACAUGGCUGCUCGUCCUAUUUCGGCGUCGCGGCGUGGCCACCAGCCCCCGGAUCCGAGUUGGGAGAGGCUCCGAAGAGGCUCCCGCGCCGGCGGAAUUCAAUCAAUAAACCCCGAACCCACGGCCGCGCGUUUUAGGACUUUGAAGGCUCAACCAGCUCCGCUCGGUUCUCGAGCCCCCAGCACCCGCGGCGCACACUAACCUGAUCACGGUGGAGGCGGGACCUGAGGUUCGGCGGAUGAGCGGCAACAGCUGGAGCCAAUCGCUGCCGAGGGUGUCCGGGCAACAGCCAAUGGUGGCGGCGGCGGGGGGGGGAAGGGACCAAUGGGCGGGCUGCGAAGCCGGCCAGGGAGGCUCAGCCAUUUGGUUGUGGUGCCGGAGACGGACCCCUUUAGAUUUCGGGGCGGCUGAGGAUCGCGACGGCUGCUUGGUGGCUGAGCUAGGGGGGUGGGCAGAAUGGCGGGGGAAGGGAAGGUGACUGCGCCUGGAGGGCCGAGCCGCUCGGCCUCGCCAGCCCGCCGCCGCCUCAGCGUUUGGCCGGGGGCGGGGCCGCAGGUGCGUUACUCGAGGGGGAGGGGCGCGGUCGGAGGGGUCGGGGUCGGGGUCCUCGCCCGGCCGAGGGCUUCGCAGGGCCACCCCGGGCCUGCCCGCGUCGCUGGACCGGGUUGGCGAAAGAGGCGGGCGGUGCGAGGUCUGGGGGCCCCGGGGCUGCCCGGCGGACGAGCGGGCGGGCGGAUGAAAGGCCUGGAAAGAGGGGGAGGGGUCAAGAGUGCAGUGGGGGAGGGGCUGGUCAUUUUUCUGGGUCCGGCGGGCCGAGCUGGUAGAGCAUGGCUGCUGCCUUCCUCUUCCUCCGCGGGUACCCACCCCGGGGCUGCGGCUCAUGGCCCGCGCGCCCCUUCGCCUCGUCCUCGUCCAGCCGCGGCCAUCGCCGCCCCUCUAAUAAACAAGUAAAUGAAAGCAAGAUGCGUCCACCUUUGGAUGACUUUCCUCGCGGUCUUGACCCUCUCCACGGAGGGGCAUUUCAGUUUGCUGUCAUAUAAGGUCAGCCUGGAAGGAGCGAUCACCAGGAGGCACCCAGGAUCUUGUUCAGUCAAUAAAUGAAUGAAGACCAUGGAUUAAGGAUUGUUGCUGAAUAUACCGAAUAUUAAAAAGUGAAAAAGAAAGGUGCUAAUAACUCCUGGUGUUCUGGACCAAACAUAAUUUAUGGGCUUUGUAGACCUAGUGAAAGAAAACGGCGCACAGUUUAUUCUAAUCGUCCACCUGAAUCAUUUGGUUCAAUUUGAGUUGCCAGAGAGGCUCUAUUUGAAGGACUUUCUCCAGGUUUUACGGUUUGCUUGCUUUUUUGUUGUUGGUGGUGUUGGUGUUGGUUUUUUUUUUUCUUUUGAAUCACAUUAGUUGUAAGACCUAAAAGCCUUCACUUCCACUGGGUUACCCACUUCUUAUGGCCAGGCCUUGGACCUUGUCAUUUACUAAGUUGGCUGCCUGUGGCUAAUAAAUCGUGGGGAUUGUUGUCAACAAGGACAGAUACAUCUUUACCCUUCCACACAACUGUUUUUCAGUGCUUAUACUUAUACAGAUCUAUACUGGUCCUUAUACACUCCAAGGUGGUGUUUUGGGGGGAUACAGUGUGUUUACUUUUCAGGCACAUGGGUUCAAGGGAGAGAGAAACCAGUAUGUAUGUUGCAAAUUUGAAGUAUUAUUACAUAACAUCAAUACAGUUUCUUUCUUGAGCAUAUAAAGUUUAGAAGGAAAUAGAAGGUGACAGAAUAAAUAAAACGCACAUACAGAAUGCUCACACUGGGGAAGAAACUGUAGUAACUUUAUUGUAACCUGAUGGAUUGUAAGUAUAAAAUCCUACAGCUAAGCAUUUUACUCAGUGAAUUUUUCUUUCAGAUAAAACGAUCGGUGGAAUUUGAAAAGUGAUAAUGUUUAUUCUGAGUAACUGGGAAAGGCAAAAUAAAAAUGGAAAGUCAUUGUUUUAUUUCAUCUGGGUUUAAGUAGUAUAAUCUAUUUGACUUGACUUAGCUGACAUUUGUCUUCCUCAGUUUUGUUCAUCUUACUGAACUCAAUUUGUGUAGUUGGAAUUCAUUUAUUUUUAAAUUGUAUUGGCUUUGUUAAAGAACAUACAGGGACCCCAAAUUACCUCUUUUUGCCAGAGUCAGUUGUUAUUUCUGGAUAUAGUAUUUAAGUUUGUUUUGAAAUAGAGCUCUUCAUCACACACACAUUAAGUCAAUAUGAUGUAUAGAAGCUAUGUAACAACGGAGUACUGAAGUUUACAUUCUCUUUGAUGGUAAAUACUCGUCUUCAAUUUGAAUUUUUAACCACAAUUAAGUCCACACUGCUAGCAAUGUGAUACCGAACAGUGGCUUUCCAGGAGUAAUCCUUUAAAAGCCAGCCAAUCAAAUGCAGAGAUGUUCCUGAUCCAGCUCUGCUAAACAGAAGCAAGUAGCUCACCUUAUCAUACAAAGAUUGAAGAGGAUGACUUGAAAGCCCAAAGCCCCGUUAAAGAGAGUGUACAGGAACAAAUUAAAGUUGGAAUUGAAA
Molecule: non-coding RNA, 2612 nt
Organism: Callorhinus ursinus (northern fur seal)
Lineage: Eukaryota; Metazoa; Chordata; Mammalia; Carnivora; Otariidae
Source: RefSeq, a predicted model, not a curated record